RNAcentral lists this ribosomal RNA (226 nucleotides) under uncultured bacterium. RNAcentral's name for it is "partial 16S ribosomal RNA". It matches the Rfam family "Bacterial small subunit ribosomal RNA", at positions 524 to 746 of the family's 1533-position model. The record is from RNAcentral.
UACGUAGGGGGGCUAGCGUUGUCCGGAAUCAUUGGGCGUAAAGCGCGUGUAGGCGGCCCGAUAAGUCCGCUGUGAAAGUCCAGGGCUCAACCCCUGGGGAUGCCGGUGGAUACUGUCGGGCUCGAGUCCGGAAGAGGCGAGUGGAAUUCCUGGUGUAGCGGUGAAAUGCGCAGAUAUCAGGAGGAACACCAAUGGCGAAGGCAGCUCGCUGGGACGUGACUGACGA